RNAcentral lists this ribosomal RNA (253 nucleotides) under uncultured bacterium. RNAcentral describes it as "partial 16S ribosomal RNA". It matches the Rfam family "Bacterial small subunit ribosomal RNA", at positions 524 to 776 of the family's 1533-position model. The record is from RNAcentral.
UACAGAGGGUGCAAGCGUUGUUCGGAAUUAUUGGGCGUAAAGGGCGCGUAGGCGGUGCGGUAAGUCUUUUGUGAAAUCUCCGGGCUCAACUCGGAGUCUGCAGGAGAAACUGCCGUGCUUGAGUGUGGGAGAGGUGAGUGGAAUUCCGAGUGUAGAGGUGAAAUGCGUAGAUAUCAGGAGGAACACCUGUGGCGAAAGCGGCUCACUGGACCAUAACUGACGCUGAGGCACGAAAGCUAGGGGAGCAAACAGG